CCCUUAGAUGUCCUGGGCCGCACGCGCGCUACACUGACGUGUUCAACAAGUUUCUCCUAGUUCGACAGGACUGGGAAAUCUUUGAACGCAUGUCGUGAUAGGGAUAGAUCAUUGCAAUUAUUGAUCUUGAACGAGGAAUUCCUAGUAAACGCGAGUCAUCAGCUCGCAUUGAUUACGUCCCUGCCCUUUGUACACACCGCCCGUCGCACCUACCGAUUGAAUGUUUCGGUGAAGAUUCCGGAUAGGACUGAUUUGAUUUAUUUCAUUUCUGACCUAAAAGCUAUCUAAACCUCAACAUUUAGAGGAAGGUGAAGUCGUAACA
This 322-nucleotide ribosomal RNA is filed under the name uncultured eukaryote. Its description in RNAcentral is "partial 18S ribosomal RNA". It matches the Rfam family "Eukaryotic small subunit ribosomal RNA", at positions 1470 to 1796 of the family's 1831-position model. The record is from RNAcentral.